UACGUAGGUGGCAAGCGUUGUCCGGAUUUACUGGGCGUAAAGCGUGCGCAGGCGGUUGUGUAAGUCUGGCGGGAAAUCCCCGGGCUCAACCUGGGAAUUGCGAUGGAGACUGCACGGCUAGAGUGUGUCAGAGGGGGGUAGAAUUCCACGUGUAGCAGUGAAAUGCGUAGAUAUGUGGAGGAACACCGAUGGCGAAGGCAGCCCCCUGGGAUAACACUGACGCUCAUGCACGAAAGCGUGGGGAGCAAACAGG
Molecule: ribosomal RNA, 253 nt
Filed under: uncultured bacterium
Lineage: Bacteria
Description: partial 16S ribosomal RNA
Rfam family: Bacterial small subunit ribosomal RNA
Source: RNAcentral